This 29-nucleotide small RNA is filed under the name Bombyx mori (domestic silkworm). Its description in RNAcentral is "ovarian small RNA-2103". Lineage: Eukaryota; Metazoa; Arthropoda; Insecta; Lepidoptera; Bombycidae. The record is from RNAcentral.
UCUAAACCCUGUGCCGUAGGGGCGUACGG